GUGAUAGACCGGAGCAAUCGAGGGCCGAGAGCCUGGCCGCGUGUGCAAUCGAGUAAAGAAGCGGAGGAAGAACUGCUCCCAAAGGCAGGAAAAAUCGGGCACCGAGUUAUUCAUCUGACCGGGCCCCGCCCACUUUCCAAAAGCCUACUCUGGGACAGCCUGGCAAGACGGAAGAGAUUGCUUCAUUUUACAGUCACCCUAGAAACGCCUCCGUCCUUCUCAGAAAGGAGAGUUGGCAGCGGGUCUGGCUGGCAUUGUGGGAUCUGUACAGGAUCCGCUCUUUGCUCCCGGUCCACGCCGAAGCUGUCAUCGGCUUAGAAUAGCGGUUAAGAAGUGUGGUGUGGAUGGAUGGACGGACCUACCACACGAAAAGCUCAGAAGCCCAAAUGUCUCCAUCCUUAACCUUAACUUGACUUUUAUAUGCACCCAUUGCUCCUCUGCACAGAGUGGUGUACAAGGACUCUGUAAGAGUAUUUUUCUUAAGCAGGUGGAAUUGUUCUGACAUUUGUGAAACAAAAGAGCUUUGAACACUAAUUUCUCAGGGUUGAUCUACAUAGUUAUUGAUGUUGGAACACAUAACCCCAAGAAUCAAACCCAAGAUCCAAGACAAUCAAAAAUUGGGAAACUAUGGAGGAGAUAAAUAAGUUCCAUAGUUAAGAGUCUAAAACGCUGACAGCAGUCUGAGAUUUCCAAAAUAAACAGGUUAUUGUUUAAAUGAACAUAACUUGCCAAGCAAGAUGACCAACACCUGUAAUCCCAGCUCCCUGAGGCUGAGACGGAAAGCCUCAAGUACUUGAGUGGCUGCCAGUCAUUCUACUGCAUUCUUGGUAGAAAGAAGCUGGAUAAAAAAGCUAUGGCAUAAAUCAAGUUUGGAAGCAGAUCAGGAGAAUGAAUAGCGUCAACCAGAGAAAUCUGAAAGACGAACACUAGCCUUAAUGGAGAGUCCUUCAACUCAAGACAAGGAAAAGAGACUAUACUUCUAUGAAAAAAAAUUUUAAGAAGAUGUGUUUGUGCCUAUAUGAUCUCCCACCAUGAUGCGCCACCAUCUAUUGCCCUCAUUGAAAGCCAAAACAGUGUCCUCUCAUCAGUCUCCUCAUCUUGGACUUUGAACCUCUAAAACUCCACACCUUCAACACUGUCCUCCCCUCAGUUCAUGUGUUCAUCUCUCUUAUCUAAUCCAAAAGCUUGACUAAUGAAGUGCACUGAUGUCUGAAACUUUCUUUGAAAUGAAUCAAAUAAAAAACUAGGUGGAUGAAUGGGUG
Long non-coding RNA from Heterocephalus glaber (naked mole-rat), 1262 nucleotides. The record is from Ensembl. NCBI's taxonomy places the organism in Eukaryota, Metazoa, Chordata, Mammalia, Rodentia, Bathyergidae.